UCCUGGCUCAGAACGAACGCUGGCGGCGUGGAUUAGGCAUGCAAGUCGAACGAGAAAGUCCCUUCGGGGAGCGAGUAAAGUGGCGAAAGGGUGAGUAAUGUAUAGAUAACCUGCCCUUGAGACGGGGAUAGCUCCGGGAAACCGGUGGUAAUACCCGAUGAUAUCGUGUCCAUAAAAGGAUACGAUCAAACGUUAGGCCCUUCGGGGCCCUUCGCUCAUGGAUGGGUCUAUAUCCUAUUAGCUUGUUGGUGCGGUAACGGCGCACCAAGGCGAUGAUGGGUAGCCGGCCUGAGAGGGCGACCGGUCACACUGGGACUGAGACACUGCCCAGACUCCUACGGGAGGCUGCAGUCGAGAAUCUUCCGCAAUGGGCGCAAGCCUGACGGAGCGACGCCGCGUGGAUGAAUGAAGGCCUUCGGGUUGUAAAGUCCUGUCAGAUGGGGAGAAACGCAGGCGGUUAAUAGCCGGCCUGCUUGACAAUCCAUCAAAGGAAGUCACGGCUAAAUUCGUGCCAGCAGCCGCGGUAAUACGAAUGUGGCAAGCGUUGUUCGGAAUCAUUGGGUUUAAAGGGUGCGUAGGCGGUGGAUUAAGUCGGGUGUGAAAUCCCUCAGCUCACCUGGGGAAUGGCGCCCGAUACUGAUUCACUUGAGUACGGAGGAAGAGAGCGGAAUUCUGGGUGUAGCGGUGAAAUGUGCAGAUAUCCAGGAGAAGACCAGUGGCGAAGGCGGCUCUCUAUUUCGAUACUGACGCUGAGGCACGAAAGCCAGGGGAUCGAACGGGAUUAGAUACCCCGGUAGUCCUGGCCCUAAACGAUGAGCACUGGGUGGGGGGGAUCCUGAUGUCUUCUCUGCCGUAGCGAAAGCGUUAAGUGCUCCACCUGGGGAGUACGGUCG
RNAcentral lists this ribosomal RNA (893 nucleotides) under uncultured organism. Its description in RNAcentral is "bacterial SSU rRNA". It matches the Rfam family "Bacterial small subunit ribosomal RNA", at positions 17 to 888 of the family's 1533-position model. The record is from RNAcentral.